ACACGCAUGCGCAUGUGUGUAUUUAUGAUUCCAUUUGCUUGAGUCAUUCCCCUCCAUGCUGGAAGACAGUAUGAGCCAUGGAGAAUCAACUGCCCGCUGAGGAAUUUAAAUGAAAAUGCUCAAGGAACAGCUGUUUGAGGAAACACCUAGAAGACACCUAGAAGAGCAAAAGAAAGACCCUGAACACUUCAAGACAGAAGUCAGGGCAAAUUGAAAAGAUUCUGACUUAUCGGAAGCCUUCAUCUCAUUCAGGAACCCGGCAAGCACGAAUUCUCCACGGUUUGCACCCCGUGUGCCAUCCCCUCCACUAGAUAAUAACCAUCUUCGACUUCUCGAAAAAUACUCGGCUGUACAAGACACAUGGUGCCAGUGCUUCUGGGGAGGGCCUCAGGGAGCUUCCACUCACUGGAAGAGGAAAAGAAGCCUGCAUGUGUGGAGAUCACGUGAUGACAGAGGAUGCAAGAAAGGGCGGAAGUGCCAGGCUCUUUUUAACAACCAGCUUUUGUGGGAACUAGCAGCACAAACUCACCACCCUGUCAAGGAAAUACGCUAAUCUAUUCUGCACUAAUGAAGGAUCCAUGACCCAAACACCUUCAAUUCAGCCCCACUUUCAACAUGAGGACUGACUUUCAGCAUAAGAUCUGGAGGGACAAACAUCCAAACUAUAGCACCAUUCAUGUCAUUACCAUAUUCUCAGUCUCUCUGCCCCAAAACGCUGCGAACCUGUUCCCUGCUGCAUCUUCAAUCCAACCAGCCACAUAGUCUGUGCUGUUUUUUAAAGAUUAAAUCUCAAAUCAAA
Long non-coding RNA from Callithrix jacchus (white-tufted-ear marmoset), 799 nucleotides. RefSeq lists it as uncharacterized. The record is from RefSeq and is a predicted model, not a curated record. NCBI's taxonomy places the organism in Eukaryota, Metazoa, Chordata, Mammalia, Primates, Cebidae.